Molecule: ribosomal RNA, 465 nt
Filed under: Vreelandella stevensii
Lineage: Bacteria; Pseudomonadati; Pseudomonadota; Gammaproteobacteria; Oceanospirillales; Halomonadaceae
Description: partial 16S ribosomal RNA
Rfam family: Bacterial small subunit ribosomal RNA
Source: RNAcentral
CCUACGGGAGGCAGCAGUGGGGAAUAUUGGACAAUGGGGGGAACCCUGAUCCAGCCAUGCCGCGUGUGUGAAGAAGGCCCUCGGGUUGUAAAGCACUUUCAGUGAGGAAGAACGCCUGGUGGUUAAUACCCAUCAGGAAAGACAUCACUCACAGAAGAAGCACCGGCUAACUCCGUGCCAGCAGCCGCGGUAAUACGGAGGGUGCGAGCGUUAAUCGGAAUUACUGGGCGUAAAGCGCGCGCAGGUGGCUUGAUAAGCCGGUUGUGAAAGCCCCGGGCUCAACCUGGGAACGGCAUCCGGAACUGUCAAGCUAGAGUGCAGGAGAGGAAGGUAGAAUUCCCGGUGUAGCGGUGAAAUGCGUAGAGAUCGGGAGGAAUACCAGUGGCGAAGGCGGCCUUCUGGACUGACACUGACACUGAGGUGCGAAAGCGUGGGUAGCAAACAGGAUUAGAUACCCUAGUAGUC